UCCCCACACCAUCCUGCCAUCUUUCAACCUCACCAGGCUCAUGUACGCCAAGCCUGUUCCUGCCUCAGGGCCUUUGUACGUGCUGUUCCCUCUGCAGAAUGUCCUCCCGUGGUCUUUGCCUGACUGGCUCCUUGCUAUCACCUCUUCAGAGAAGCCCUCCAUCAUCACCCUGCCUCAAGUAGCUUCCCAGCCACUUGCCUUUACAGUACUCAGUUUUAUUCUUUGUCACUCCAUUCCCCUUCCGGCAUAGGUGCUCCAUUAAAUCAGGAACCUUGUUGCUUCUGGUAUCUGGGGUGUCCCACCGCUACCCCCAUGUGAGUGCCUGGCACAUAUAGAUACUUGAUACCUGCUUGCUGAAUAAAUGAAUAAGUGCAACUUGACUGGAUGAUGAGAGGCACAGCUGAGUCCGGAGCAGACUGAGCCACCUAAGAGGGGAGGAACCGCUGCAGAGAAACCGUGUUAAGCCUUUUUGAAGUUCCAGAGGGAGAACAAGAGAGCGGAGGCUCCUGGUGGCUGGUGACAGGUGCUGAUUUGUUCUGGGGAAAGAGCACAGAAAAGUGCCUGGAGAGGAGGCGGGGCCAAAAUGGGAUGUAGGCGAUGGGAAGGACCCUCAAGACACAGUCCUGGGCUCCCAGGCAGGACCAACCCCCAAACCUGUCCCCCCAGGAGCCUGCAGAGCCACUGCCCUGACAGGGGACACCUCACUUCCUCUCCUUGCAGCUGCUCUUGGCUGGGAGAGCAGAGAACAGGGGACAGGAGAGAAGCCCCGAGAGUACUGAAGCUGAGGCUGGGGCGGUCUUCACUUCCCUCUUUCCUCGGCCCUUUUCCUGUUCUCUUGUCUUGUCUCUCUUUCUCUACUUUCCUUCUCCCUAGCCCAGUCUCUCACCGCUCUUCAGCCUCUGGGCCUUUCCUUCUUCCUCUCUUGCCCUCAUUCUUCCUUCUCUGUCCCUCUUGUCUUCUCUUUUACCUCUUCUCUUCUUCCCUCCUUCCUACAGCUAUGCCCUCUUCCCUCCUUUCUCUUGUCCCCAACCAGGGCAUUAGAAAUGCAUUCCAGUUACACUGAUCUGAUCACUGCAUAUUGUAUGCAUGCAUCAAAAUAUCACAUGUACCCCAGAAAUAUGUAAAUUACUGCAUAUCAAUAAAAAGAAAUGUAGCUUCUUUGCCUCACAUACAGAAA
Molecule: long non-coding RNA, 1177 nt
Filed under: Homo sapiens (human)
Lineage: Eukaryota; Metazoa; Chordata; Mammalia; Primates; Hominidae
Description: non-protein coding LINC01141:12
Source: RNAcentral